UUCCUCUUUUGCACAGGCCGAUCAGGAACGAAAGUCGAGCGGCGGCAGCAGCCGCCACUCGGGCACAUCGUCACCGUAAAAGACACCCGCCAGGAGGCGCGUGUGGUCGUCCCAGGGGCAUCCAUUGUCUCGGAGCCACUUGAGCACAGGGUGGUCAGAGCACCGUAAGGCGGCGCUGCAGGCGCGCUCAUUCCACGGGCACCCAUUGUCGCGCGCCCACGCGAGCACGGCGACGUGGCCGUGCUUGGCGGCGACCUCGCAGAUACGAUCGUCCAAACGAAGGCCAGCCCGCCUCGCGCUGGCAAGUAGCCGCACAUGCCCUUCCUGAGCCGCUUGGAUGCAUGUGUCGUGAUCCCAGAGGAAUCCGUUGUUUUGUGCCCACUCGACUACAUGAUCGUGCCCGUUGCGGGCGGCGGCGGUGCACACAGAUCGGCUAUAGGCGUAUCGGAUGUUGUCGUGUAUCCACACGAGCACGUCCAGGUGACCGCUGGCCGCCGCGCGGCGCGGCGUGGUCCAAAGCAAGCGGCACCCGUUGGCGACAAGCCACUUGAGCGCGUCGAGGUGGCCGCUCGCCGCGGCCUCGUCGCACGCGCGCUCGUCCCAUUCACAUCCGUUUGUGCGUGCUCACUGGAGCACGGCGAGAUGGCCGUUGCGGGCUGCCAAGCGGCAGGUGUCGGCAUCCCACGUGCAACGACGCCGUCUAAGCCAUUUGAGGGUCGGCAGGUCUCCGCGGCCGGCAACUAUGGCGCACGCCCACCGGUCUUGCGGGCAGCCGGAAUCCAACGCCCACUCCAUCGUCUCUCUGUCGCCGCGCUUGGCCAAUGCAGUGAAUGUCUCUGAAUCCCACGGCAUCCGUCCUUGGCGAGAUCGACGAGCAGUCGCAUGUGGCCCCCUCUGGCCGCUUCAUAGCACGUCAUUGUAUCCCAGGGACAUCCACUGGCUCUGGCCCACUUUAGCACGCUCACGUAG
This 969-nucleotide long non-coding RNA is filed under the name Pandoravirus neocaledonia. Its description in RNAcentral is "hypothetical ncRNA". The record is from RNAcentral.